GGAGGAAGGAAUGGGCAACGGUAGGUCAGCAUGCCCCGAAUUAUCCGGGCUACACGCGGGCUACAAUGGUCAGGACAAUGGGUAUCGACACCGAGAGGUGGAGGCAAUCUCCUAAACCUGUCCUUAGUUCGGAUUGUGGGCUGCAACUCGCCCACAUGAAGCUGGAAUCCGUAGUAAUCGCGUUUCAAAAUAGCGCGGUGAAUAUGUCCCUGCUCCUU
This 218-nucleotide ribosomal RNA is filed under the name uncultured Methanolinea sp. RNAcentral describes it as "partial 16S ribosomal RNA". It matches the Rfam family "Archaeal small subunit ribosomal RNA", at positions 1121 to 1338 of the family's 1478-position model. The record is from RNAcentral. Lineage: Archaea; Methanobacteriati; Methanobacteriota; Methanomicrobia; Methanomicrobiales; Methanoregulaceae.